GCCAAAACCUCUCACCCAAAAUGGGCCAAAUCUGUUGUAAUUUGCAUAACAAUAAGUUGCCCGUCGUAGUGCAAGCUGAAUACUCACUCUGCAGUUGGGCACAGAUGAGCGAAGACGCAACAUUAUGUGUGGUGAAUUCACAAGUUUAAGCUUUUAUAAGACGUAGAAGCAAGUAUAUGAUUACACUUGGGCAACCCAUUUAUGCUUAAAAAGAUUGACAUGCUAUCAAAGAUCUUUUUGUAAGAAGCCCACGGAGAAAAUGUGCAACGUGGGCCUGCAAGCAACAAGGUCUUUGGUUGACAUAUGUCAUGCUCAAUUUCAUGUAUCUCUUAUAUCAAAUCCGAAUAAAUAUUGCUAUAAUC
Molecule: long non-coding RNA, 362 nt
Filed under: Lingula anatina
Lineage: Eukaryota; Metazoa; Brachiopoda; Lingulata; Lingulida; Lingulidae
Description: uncharacterized LOC106158630
Source: RNAcentral